This 253-nucleotide ribosomal RNA is filed under the name uncultured bacterium. Its description in RNAcentral is "partial 16S ribosomal RNA". It matches the Rfam family "Bacterial small subunit ribosomal RNA", at positions 524 to 776 of the family's 1533-position model. The record is from RNAcentral.
UACGAAGGGGGCUAGCGUUGCUCGGAAUUACUGGGCGUAAAGGGCGCGUAGGCGGAUAGUUAAGUCAGAGGUGAAAGCCCAGGGCUCAACCUUGGAACUGCCUUUGAUACUGGCUAUCUUGAGUUCGGGAGAGGUGUGUGGAACUCCGAGUGUAGAGGUGAAAUUCGUAGAUAUUCGGAAGAACACCAGUGGCGAAGGCGACACACUGGCCCGAUACUGACGCUGAGGCGCGAAAGCGUGGGGAGCAAACAGG